RNAcentral lists this transfer RNA (76 nucleotides) under Diaphorina citri (Asian citrus psyllid). It matches the Rfam family "tRNA". From Rfam's summary of the family: Transfer RNA (tRNA) molecules are approximately 80 nucleotides in length. The record is from Rfam by way of RNAcentral. Lineage: Eukaryota; Metazoa; Arthropoda; Insecta; Hemiptera; Psyllidae.
UCCUCCUUGGCCGAGUGGGUGUCCACUGCGCUCGCCUUGCACGCGGGAGACCCGGGUUCGAUUCCCGGCGGAGUUU